RNAcentral lists this ribosomal RNA (459 nucleotides) under uncultured bacterium. RNAcentral describes it as "partial 16S ribosomal RNA". It matches the Rfam family "Bacterial small subunit ribosomal RNA", at positions 338 to 795 of the family's 1533-position model. The record is from RNAcentral.
CCUACGGGUGGCAGCAGUGAGGAAUAUUGGUCAAUGGCCGGAAGGCUGAACCAGCCAAGCCGCGUGAAGGACGAAGGUGCCAAGCAUUGUAAACUUCUUUUGUCAAGGGACAAAAUCAGGCUCGAGAGCCUGACCGAGGGUACUUGAAGAAAAAGCAUCGGCUAACUCCGUGCCAGCAGCCGCGGUAAUACGGAGGAUGCGAGCGUUAUCCGGAUUUAUUGGGUUUAAAGGGUGCGUAGGCGGGCAUUUAAGCCGGCGGUCAAAUGUCGGGGCUCAACCCCGGCCUGCCGUUGAAACUGGUUUUCUUGAGUGAGCGAGAAGUAUGCGGAAUGCGUGGUGUAGCGGUGAAAUGCAUAGAUAUCACGCAGAACUCCGAUUGCGAAGGCAGCAUACCGGCGCUCAACUGACGCUCAUGCACGAAAGUGUGGGUAUCGAACAGGAUUAGAUACCCCUGUAGUC